GGAGCUUGCUCGGGAAGCCUAGCGGCGAACGGUCGCGUAACACGUAAGCAACCUGCCCCAAAGUUUGGGAUAGCCCUCCGAAAGGGGGAUUAAUACCGGAUGUGGAUGUUGAUAUGCAUGUAUUAACAUCUAAAGCAUUUAUGCGCUUUGGGAUGGGCUUGCGGCCUAUCAGCUAGUUGGUGAGGUAACGGCUCACCAAGGCGACGACGGGUAGCUGGUCUGAGAGGAUGGUCAGCCGGACUGGGACUGAGACACGGCCCAGACUCCUACGGGGGGCAGCAAUUAGGAAUCUUGCGCAAUGGGCGAAAGCCUGACGCAGCGACGUCGCGUGAACGAUGAAGUCUUUCGGGAUGUAAAGUUCUUUUCUGAGGGAAGAAGGAUGUGACGGUACCUCAGGAAUAAGCCCCGGCUAACUACGUGCCAGCAGCCGCGGUAAUACGUAGGGGGCGAGCGUUGUCCGAAUUUACUGGGCGUAAAGCGCGCGUAGGCGGACUCUUAAGUUGGUGGUGAAAUGCCGAGGGUUCAACCUCGGAACUGCCUUCAAAACUGGGAGUCUUGAGGCUUGGAGAGGGAAGUGGAAUUCCUUGGUUGUAGCGGUGAAAUGCGUAGAUAUCAGGAGGAACACCGAUGGCGAAGGCAGCUUCCUGGCCAUGUCCUGACGCUGAGGUGCGAAAGCCAGGGUAGCGAAACGGGAUUAGAUACCCCGGUAGUCCUGGCCGUAUACGAUUGGAUACUAGGUUGUUAGAGGUAUCGACCCCUUCUAGUGCCGAGGCAAACGCAUUAAGUAUCCCGCCUGGGGAGUACGUCCGCAAGGUUGAAACUCAAAGGAAUUGACGGGGGCCCGCACAAGCGGUGGAGCAUGUGGUUUAAUACGUCACUAACCGUAGAACCUCACCCAGGCUUGACAUCUGCUGAAAGCGCCUGAAAGGGUGGCCCCGGUAUUUUUAUAUCGCAGCAAGACAGGUGUUUGCAUGGCUGUCGUCAGCUCGUGUCGUGAGAUGUUGGGUUAAGUCCCGCAACGAGCGCAACCCUCAUCCGAUGUUGCCAGCGUAAAGUCGGGAACUCUUCGGAAACUGCCCGUGCAAGCGGGAGGAAGUUGGGGAUGACGUCAAGUCAGCAUGGCCCUUACGCCUGGGGCUACACACAUGCUACAAUGGAUGUAACAAUGGCUGCAAGACCGCGAGGUGGAGCAAAUCUCAAAAAUACAUCCUCAGUUCGGAUUUGCAGUCUGCAACUCGACUGCAUGAAGUCGGAAUCGCUAGUAACCGCAGGUCAGC
Molecule: ribosomal RNA, 1277 nt
Filed under: uncultured organism
Description: bacterial SSU rRNA
Rfam family: Bacterial small subunit ribosomal RNA
Source: RNAcentral